This 252-nucleotide ribosomal RNA is filed under the name uncultured Oscillospiraceae bacterium. RNAcentral describes it as "partial 16S ribosomal RNA". It matches the Rfam family "Bacterial small subunit ribosomal RNA", at positions 524 to 776 of the family's 1533-position model. Lineage: Bacteria; Bacillati; Bacillota; Clostridia; Eubacteriales; Oscillospiraceae. The record is from RNAcentral.
UACGGAGGAUGCGAGCGUUAUCCGGAUUUAUUGGGUUUAAAGGGUGCGUAGGCGGGAGGAUAAGUUGAAUGUGAAAUCUAUGGGCUCAACCCAUAGCUGCGUUCAAAACUGUUCUUCUUGAGUGAAGUAGAGGCAGGCGGAAUUCCUAGUGUAGCGGUGAAAUGCGUAGAUAUUAGGAGGAACACCAGUGGCGAAGGCGACUUACUGGACUGUAACUGACGCUGAGGCAUGAGAGCAUGGGGAGCAAACAGG